CAGUAGCCGCGGUAAAACGUAGGUGGCAAGCGUUGUUCGGAGUUACUGGGCGUAAAGGGUGUGUAGGCGGUUCUCUAAGUCUGGUGUGAAAUCUCCCGGCUCAACCGGGAGGGUGCGCCGAAAACUGGGGAGCUAGAGUAUGGGAUGGGAAAGUGGAAUUCCUGGUGUAGCGGUGAAAUGCGUAGAUAUCAGGAGGAACACCGGUGGUGUAGACGGCUUUCUGGACCAUAACUGACGCUGAGACACGAAAGCGUGGGUAGCAAACAGGAUUAGAUACCCGGGUAGUCCCUGUCUCUUAUAC
This 301-nucleotide ribosomal RNA is filed under the name uncultured bacterium. Its description in RNAcentral is "partial 16S ribosomal RNA". It matches the Rfam family "Bacterial small subunit ribosomal RNA", at positions 509 to 807 of the family's 1533-position model. The record is from RNAcentral.